GAUGAAGAACGUAGCGAAAUGCGAUAAGUAAUGUGAAUUGCAGAAUUCAGUGAAUCAUCGAAUCUUUGAACGCAUCUUGCGCUCCUUGGUAUUCUGAGGAGCAUGCCUGUUUGAGUGUCAUUAAAUUCUCAACUACACUGACUUUGAAUUUGUGUGGCUUGGAUUUGGGGGGAAAAUUGUUGUGGGCUUUUUGUAUAGUCUGCUCCCCUGAAAUUGAUUAGCGGUACCUUUGUGGAACUGUCUACAGGUGUGAUAAUUAUCUACAUCUUAGACAUCUGCUGGAAUGCUGCUUUCUAAACCUUACUUGUAUUGACAAUCUUGACCUCAAAUCAGGUAGGACUACCCGCUGAACUUAAGCAUAUCAAUAAGCGGAGGA
Molecule: unclassified non-coding RNA, 376 nt
Filed under: soil metagenome
Description: partial contains 5.8S ribosomal RNA, internal transcribed spacer 2, and large subunit ribosomal RNA
Rfam family: 5.8S ribosomal RNA (bases 1-120)
Source: RNAcentral